RNAcentral lists this ribosomal RNA (523 nucleotides) under uncultured bacterium. Its description in RNAcentral is "partial 16S ribosomal RNA". It matches the Rfam family "Bacterial small subunit ribosomal RNA", at positions 28 to 523 of the family's 1533-position model. The record is from RNAcentral.
GACGAACGCUGGCGGCGUGCCUAAUACAUGCAAGUCGAACGCUUUUUCUUUCACCGGAGCUUGCCCCACCGAAAGAAAAAGAGUGGCGAACGGUUGAGGAAGACGUAGGAAACCUGCCCAUCAGAAGGGGAUAACACUUGGAAACAGGUGCUAAGACCGUAUAACACUAUUUUCCGCACGGAAGAAAGUUGAAAGUCGCUUUCUCGUCACUGAUGGACGGACCCGCGGUGCAUUAGCUAGUUGGUGAGGUAACGGCUCACCAAGGCAACGAUGCAUAGCCGACGUGAGAGGGUGUUCGGCCACACUGGGACUGAGACACGGCCCAGACUCCUACGGGAGGCAGCAGUAGGGAAUCUUCGGCAAUGGACGAAAGUCUGACCGAGCAACGCCGCGUGAGGGAAGAAGGUUUUCGGAUCGUAAAACUCUGUUGUUAGAGAAGAACAAGGAUGAGAGUAAAACGUUCAUCCCUUGACGGUAUCUAACCAGAAAGCCACGGCUAACUACGUGCCAGCCGCCGCUGUAA